UAUUAUGAGAGUUUGAUCCUGGCUCAGGACGAACGCUGGCGGCGUGCCUAAUACAUGCAAGUCGAACGCUUCUUUCCUCCCGAGUGCUUGCACUCAAUUGGAAAGAGGAGUGGCGGACGGGUGAGUAACACGUGGGUAACCUACCCAUCAGAGGGGGAUAACACUUGGAAACAGGUGCUAAUACCGCAUAACAGUUUAUG
Molecule: ribosomal RNA, 200 nt
Filed under: Enterococcus faecalis
Lineage: Bacteria; Bacillati; Bacillota; Bacilli; Lactobacillales; Enterococcaceae
Description: partial 16S ribosomal RNA
Rfam family: Bacterial small subunit ribosomal RNA
Source: RNAcentral